RNAcentral lists this signal recognition particle RNA (306 nucleotides) under Gossypium hirsutum (cotton). RNAcentral describes it as "Plant signal recognition particle RNA". It matches the Rfam family "Plant signal recognition particle RNA". Lineage: Eukaryota; Viridiplantae; Streptophyta; Magnoliopsida; Malvales; Malvaceae. The record is from Rfam by way of RNAcentral.
GCCGAGUUGGGUAACGCUAGCUUGUGACCCUCGUGGGGGCAUUAAGGUGGUUGGACUAUGGGCCUACUCAUUGAGUUGGAGCUGUAGUGACUGUAUUCUGGCACGCCCAUUCCAAGCAAGGAGUUGGGCUACGAGUCUUGAGCGAAAGCUUUGGGUCUCGUUGCUCCUAGAGUGGAAGGCAAAGCGUGAGGCUGGUUUCACAGAGCAGCGAAAACUUCCCUCUCUUUGCGGUGGAAGGAUAACGGGCCGGUGUCACUUGGAUCCUUCAUGGCUCCUUGAGUCUUCUCUAAACGGACAACCACUUUU